GUGGGGAAUAUUGGGCAAUGGGGGAAACCCUGACCCAGCAACGCCGCGUGAAGGAAGAAGGUUUUCGGAUCGUAAACUUCUAUCCUUGGUGAAGAUAAUGACGGUAGCCAAGAAGGAAGCCCCGGCUAACUACGUGCCAGCAGCCGCGGUAAUACGUAGGGGGCAAGCGUUGUCCGGAAUGAUUGGGCGUAAAGGGCGCGUAGGCGGCCUGGUAAGUCUGGAGUGAAAGUCCUGCUUUUAAGGUGGGAAUUGCUUUGGAUACUGUCGGGCUUGAGUGCAGGAGAGGUAAGCGGAAUUCCCGGUGUAGCGGUGAAAUGCGUAGAGAUCGGGAGGAACACCAGUGGCGAAGGCGGCUUCCUGGCACAAUACUGACGCUGAGGCGCGAAAGUGUGGGGAGCAAACAGGAUUAGAUACCCUUGUAGUCC
RNAcentral lists this ribosomal RNA (425 nucleotides) under uncultured bacterium. Its description in RNAcentral is "partial 16S ribosomal RNA". It matches the Rfam family "Bacterial small subunit ribosomal RNA", at positions 354 to 796 of the family's 1533-position model. The record is from RNAcentral.